AUGGAAAAAAAUGAGAAAAGAAGUUGUAAUUGAUGAUAAUUUAAUUUUUCCAUCAACUGUUUUUUAGAAAUUAUUAGCAAAAAAUUGCAUCAAAUGGAAGUCGUCUCAUUAUUCCUGCUGCCCAAGGGUUGGCAUCGAACCUCAUUCAGGCGUAAAAAUAAAAUAAGCAUUUUUCUCGAUUUUGGUGAUGGUCCUGAGUCCUCCUGGCUCCUGAUAAGCUCGGUAAAGCGAUGAGAAAGAAGUUGUAACUUUCAAAGUUGGACUUUAUGAAAUUUGUUUACAAACGAUCAUCUCGACAUCUCGAAAUCAUUGACGGCAAAGAAGUUUCUGAAGUGAAAAAAAUCCUCCGUGAUUAAAAUAAAACAAAAAAUAG
Molecule: long non-coding RNA, 373 nt
Organism: Uranotaenia lowii
Lineage: Eukaryota; Metazoa; Arthropoda; Insecta; Diptera; Culicidae
Exons: 3
Source: RefSeq, a predicted model, not a curated record